Molecule: ribosomal RNA, 483 nt
Filed under: uncultured bacterium
Lineage: Bacteria
Description: bacterial SSU rRNA
Rfam family: Bacterial small subunit ribosomal RNA
Source: RNAcentral
AGUGAACGCUGGCGGCAGGCCUAACACAUGCAAGUCGAGCGGCAGCGCGUCCGACCACCCUCGGGUGGUCGGAUGGCGGCGAGCGGCGGACGGGUGAGGAAUGCAUCGGAAUCUGCCUCGUUGUGGGGGAUAGCGUAGGGAAACUUACGCUAAUACCGCAUACGACCUACGGGUGAAAGUGGGGGACCUUCGGGCCUCACGCGAUGAGAUGAGCCGAUGCCGGAUUAGCUAGUUGGCGGGGUAAAGGCCCACCAAGGCGACGAUCCGUAGCUGGUCUGAGAGGAUGAUCAGCCACACUGGAACUGAGACACGGUCCAGACUCCUACGGGAGGCAGCAGUGGGGAAUAUUGGACAAUGGGGGCAACCCUGAUCCAGCCAUGCCGCGUGUGUGAAGAAGGCCUGCGGGUUGUAAAGCACUUUCAGUAGGGAGGAACAGUAGCCGGUUAAUAUCCGGUUGCCUUGACGUUACCUACAGAAGAAGCA